GACGAACGCUGGCGGCGUGCUUAACACAUGCAAGUCGAACGGAAAGGCCCUGCUUUUGUGGGGUGCUCGAGUGGCGAACGGGUGAGUAACACGUGAGUAACCUGCCCUUGACUUUGGGAUAACUUCAUGAAACUGGGGCUAAUACCGGAUAUGAGCUCCUCCUGCAUUGUGGGGGUUGGAAAGUUUCGGCGGUUGGGGAUGGACUCGCGGCUUAUCAGCUUGUUGGUGGGGUAGUGGCUUACCAAGGCUUUGACGGGUAGCCGGCCUGAGAGGGUGACCGGCCACACUGGGACUGAGAUACGGCCCAGACUCCUACGGGAGGCAGCAGUGGGGAAUAUUGCACAAUGGGCGGAAGCCUGAUGCAGCAACGCCGCGUGCGGGAUGACGGCCUUCGGGUUGUAAACCGCUUUCGCCUGUGACGAAGCGUGAGUGACGGUAAUGGGUAAAGAAGCACCGGCUAACUACGUG
RNAcentral lists this ribosomal RNA (468 nucleotides) under uncultured bacterium. RNAcentral's name for it is "partial 16S ribosomal RNA". It matches the Rfam family "Bacterial small subunit ribosomal RNA", at positions 28 to 507 of the family's 1533-position model. The record is from RNAcentral.